AGAUUGAACGCUGGCGGCAGGCCUAACACAUGCAAGUCGAGCGGUAGAGAGGUGCUUGCAUCUCUUGAGAGCGGCGGACGGGUGAGUAAUGCCUAGGAAUCUGCCUAGUGGUGGGGGAUAACGUUCGGAAACGGACGCUAAUACCGCAUACGUCCUACGGGAGAAAGCGGAGGACCUUCGGGCCUCGCGCCAUUAGAUGAGCCUAGGUCGGAUUAGCUAGUUGGUGAGGUAAUGGCUCACCAAGGCGACGAUCCGUAACUGGUCUGAGAGGAUGAUCAGUCACAUGGAACUGAGACACGGUCCAGACUCCUACGGGAGCAGCAGUGGGAAUAGUUGGACAAGUGGGCGAAAGCCUGACUCCAGCCAUGCCGCGUGUGUGAAGAGUCUUAGGAUUGAAAGCAAGUUUAAGGUGGUAGGUAAGGUUAGUAACUUAAGUACGUUAGUCCUAAACGUUUUGAACGUUUAACCGAA
This 471-nucleotide ribosomal RNA is filed under the name uncultured soil bacterium. RNAcentral's name for it is "bacterial SSU rRNA". It matches the Rfam family "Bacterial small subunit ribosomal RNA", at positions 26 to 500 of the family's 1533-position model. The record is from RNAcentral.